Molecule: non-coding RNA, 4270 nt
Organism: Myodes glareolus (Bank vole)
Lineage: Eukaryota; Metazoa; Chordata; Mammalia; Rodentia; Cricetidae
Source: RefSeq, a predicted model, not a curated record
UCAAAGUUUAAAAAAACACUGAAUUUUUCAUGUUAAUAAGCAUGUUGGUGAGCCAGACAGUGGUGCACACCUUUUAAUCCCAACACUUAGGAGGCAAAGGCAGGUGAAUCUCUAUGAGUUUGAGGCCAGAGUGAGUUCCAGGACAGCCGAGACUACCCAGAGAAACCCUUUCUGGAAAAGCAAAAACAUAUUGGUGCACUUCUCUUUAGUUAUGUAGACAGCUGUUGGUUGUUUGCUUAUAAUGUAUUGGCUGGUUGGGAAAUUUUGUCUUAUUGCUUACACUCUUACCUUAGUGCCAUCUAAAUCACCACUGUAUGAUUUCCUAUUUAUAAUUUAUCAUUUUCUCUGUCGUUAGAUGAAACAUCCCUUAAAGCAUGCCACAGCAAGGUGAGCAAAAGUCAGGCUUGCAAAAUUUUGGAAAAAUAAUUGCAAAGCUUCAUUAAAGAAUAAUGAAAGUUGAUUCAUAUAGUAUCAGCGCUGCCCAGUUUAGCAAACAUCAUUAUUCCAAGUCAUAUUUAGAGGCACCCAAACUUCAGCAUUUAUAUUUCUCAAGCAAUCUUUUAGGGAAUAACAACAACAACAACAAAACUCCUUUAGUAAAGGCUCUAAAAGUAAAAUCACUAAUUCCCAUUUUUUUUUUAUUUCAUGAGGGCUAAGAUAGAAACAAUGGACAUUUUAAAACAGGGAACACAGAUUCCUUUCACUCUGCUGUAGCUUUAGCAUUCCACCUUGGUAGCCAGCCAGAAGUUUUGGCUUCUGGGGCCAGUUGCCUUUUGCAUGCUGAUUUUCCUGAUGAAGUCCCCCAAGAGUUUCUUCUUUGGAGCAGAGUCUAUGGACUUCAGCCCUGUAGCGAGUGGGAUAGCAGAGUGCGGGAUGCAAACAUUGAGGGAACAGUCUCUCACAGACGAAUCAGUAACAUAGUCCCAUUUUAGGUUUCUGGCUGCCAGCAAACGUACCUGUUAGGCCCUUAUCACUGAAGGAUCACAACCAGGACUUCAGCAAAAAUACUGAGUGUUCUGGCCCAGCACUUUGCAGCAAAUAAGUGAAGCACAGGAAUGCAUAUUUAUGCACACGUGCAAACCAUGUGUCUGUGUUCCCACAUUCAAGUAUUUAUAGAACUAGUAAUAGCAAGAAUGGUCAAAAAGAUUUUGUGGUCUUUUUUCAUAAACACUGUUCAAUAUUGUUUAUUCCAACCAUUCACAACGAAAGGGAAUAAUAAGGCCAGACUCAAGUCCCCAGAAAUGGUAUUAUUGAGUAUGUGUGGUAAAACUGGGAGAUAUUUAUUGUUGGUAAUAGACUUUAGGUGAGAGUUGUGUUGGUAUUGAAACUGCAUCAAAUCUAAAAUGGUCUUUCGAGAGGAAGUGGUUAUUUUGGUGUGUCUUGUGGCCAGUUUCAAUUAGUCAUAAAUUAGAGAGUGCCACACUUUUUUGAAAGGAUCAAAAGCCAACACUUGGCCUUAAACUCCCUCACCUCUGCCCUUGCUGACCCUAACAAGAAGUCAUCGCUCUUUGUGAACUCAGCAGUUGCUAUCAGGUCUUGCCAUUCCACUGCAGAAAAGAGCCGGAGCUGUCAGCCUGUCAGGAGGAGAUUGAGGAGCCAGGGGCUUUCUGUAGAGUGCCAGCCUUCUGCCCAUAAAGAAUUCUCUAAACUCAUCAAUGCAAAAUUGACAUGUUUUAAAGUGUCCAGUGAAAGGCUCAGAAGCCGGUUUGCUGCCGCUUGACGACUGUGCUCUCGUUGCUCAGAUUCUAUUUUCCAUUUUCCUUCAGUUCUUCAGCACUUAUCUGUAUACUCGAUAGUAUACUAGACAAACAACUCUCCUGUCCUCAGUCAGCACAGAGCUCACAGCUGUGGUGUCGUGGUACUUGAUGCUGUGAUUAAUUGCCAAUUACAAACAUCUGAUGAAUAUUUUAAACCCUUCCUUAGAUGACUUGUUUUAUAGCUGACAUAUAUGGUUAGUUGAAAAGACCGAGGCUAUGAAGUUUGUUGUCACAAAAAGCAGAAUUGAGUCCAAGUGUCAUGCUUUCCUGAUCUCUAAUGAGUAUUUUGCUCUUUUGAUACCUAAACCAUACCUGUGCCUUAUGGUCCAACUCAGUUCCGGCCUCGUACCCAGUCCUUCGCUGGCAGUCCUCGCUGAGACCCACCUCAUGGCCUAUGACCAACGCCGCUGGAGUGUCAUCAGAUGCAGCAUUCAUGCCCUGACUUCACAUCAGAGCUUAUAUGCAUUGCUUCUUCAGCCUUUCUUGCAGUACCUAGAACAGUGCUGAGCACAUGUGGAAGCUCAGUGGUAGCAAUGAGUAGCACCAACCUAAGGCAUCUCGUCAGUACCCCAGAAGCAUGCAGCUUAACUUCCAGGCAGGCCAUUCCAGGAAUACAUUGGUCAGCUGGUGGCUUGGCGAUUGAAAUCACUGUUGACUACCACCCACAGAAAAAUGUGAAGCAAAUUAUAUGCCUUAUCAUUUCCAUUAGGGAAUUACUAGUGAGUAUAAAAAGGGGGAAAUUAAUGGACUAGAUAAAGAAAAGAAAUACAGAACAGAGGAAAAGAACUGGUUUGGAAAAGGCAAAACCCAAAUCCUAGCAUUCUCAUUCUUGGAUGUAAUAUGUUUCCUUUUUUCAUGACAAAACAUCAAAGAGUCCUUGCAAAUCAUUUAAUUGAUGGUUGUUGGCCCAUCUUAUUGCUGUGUGCAGAAAUAACUGUCUGUUUCAGUUUGAAUUAGGAACAAACUGGAAGGGCAGUUGCUUUGGAGAAAAUCAGUAAAUGCAGAAGCCUAGUAACACUGGUAUAUUGUGGCAGUGAGAAAUGACAACUCAAAAAGAGGCUAUCUUCUCACUUAUUGGUCAUGCUCUCAGCUUCCAUGGGAUUUCUCACUUUAUAGGCUGGGCUUCCCACUGGCAGCAGCUGAAGCAGGUUAUUAUGUACAUGUGUCACGUGGUCCACUUCAUCACCCAAAUGGAACUGGGAGAGUAAGUCCCCCUAACAAGCCCCUUCAGUACAGUCAUAAAAACUACUUACAGAUGUACUCUUCCUCUGUAGGGACACAAGGAGUUUCCUUGUGCUGUGCCCCAUGAUACAGGAAAUGCAUUAUCCCCAUCCAAAUUCAGGCAUAUGAGGAGGAAGCAUGUGAAAAGAAAGCAGCUCACAAAAGCUCACACAGCGUUUGGAAAAGUCCUCAGAGGGGCUCACAUACCCGUUUAUGAUAACGGCAGAUAAAAUCCCGUCUCUGAAGCUCAGUUCAUUUCAAAUGCUAAUGUCCACACAGGGAAAGGAAACCACAUCAGCAUUCAGCUUUGACACAAACACUGCUAAUCCUUUUUAUUUAUGAUUGUCACUGAGCCCCUCUGCAGCAUGCCAGGUCUCCAUUUGUCUUCCAGCGUUGGCUACUUUGUGUGCUUCACUCGGAGGUUAGUUGUACUUUUUAAGUACUGUUUUGGAUCUUGAAUCGGGAGCCAGUAUGUUCAUAUUCAGAUCAGCUUGAAUUGGAUAUUUCUGUAGAAUCAUCCUGUUCAGAGUUAGAUUUGUCUGCCAUUGUUAAAUCUCCUGUUUCACAUGGUGUGGUCAAUUCAUGAUUAAUGCAGUCAACGAACAAAUACUAAAAUGUAACCCGUGUCCCACUAUCCUAGGCACUGGCGAUACCACAGGGAAUAGAGUCCUAUAUUUAUACAGAUAAUAAUUUAGAGGGGAGUCAGGAAACAGAGAAAUAUGUCAGACAGUCUGUCAGUCAGGAUAGAUUACAUUGUUUUGUGGCAAUAAACACCUUCGUCUCGCAGAGGCUUGAAACAGCAAUGUUUAUUCCAGGGGGGGCUGGAGAAAUAACUCAGUGGUUAAGAGCGCUAUCCUCCCAGAGGACCCAGGUUUAGUUCCCAGCAACCAUGUCAGUUCGAAAAACAAAAACAACAACAAAGUUUAUUCUUUAUCACAGCGUAUUCACUGAAGGGCAGAAGGAGGGACUCUCCUCUGGGUCACUUCCAUCCAGCACCCAGGCUACCCAGAGAACCACCAUGGAGUAAGGCUAGUCUCGGGUAGAAGAUCAAAUGGUGUCUGUGGAGUCGGAAAGGGACAUCAGACCCCCUCAUGAAAUCGGAGGUGCAAGCAACUGUGAGCCACUGGGUGUGGAUGCAGGAUGAAAACCAAACACAAGCCCUUUGGAAGAGCAGCAGAUGCGCUUAGUCACUGAGAUACUUCUCAAGCCCUCUCCAUUUCUAAACAGAUUCUAACUUACAGAAAAGGGUUCCAGCCCAAAACUACGUAUUUAAAUUAUCAGUCAUGUCUUAA